This 70-nucleotide transfer RNA is filed under the name Marmota monax (woodchuck). RNAcentral describes it as "tRNA.Ala". The record is from RNAcentral. Lineage: Eukaryota; Metazoa; Chordata; Mammalia; Rodentia; Sciuridae.
GGGCUGGGGCUCAGUGGUAGAGUGCUUGCCUAGCAUGUAUGAGGCACUGGGUUCGAUUCUCCGCACCACA